GAGAGUUUGAUCCUGGCUCAGGACGAACGCUGGCGGCGUGCUUAACACAUGCAAGUCGAGCGAUGAAGCUUCCUUCGGGAAGUGGAUUAGCGGCGGACGGGUGAGUAACACGUGGGUAACCUGCCUCAAAGUGGGGGAAAGCCUUCCGAAAGGAAGAUUAAUACCGCAUAAUAUAAGAGAAUCGCAUGAUUUUCUUAUCAAAGAUUUAUUGCUUUGAGAUGGACCCGCGGCGCAUUAGCUAGUUGGUAAGGUAACGGCUUACCAAGGCAACGAUGCGUAGCCGACCUGAGAGGGUGAUCGGCCACAUUGGAACUGAGACACGGUCCAGACUCCUACGGGAGGCAGCAGUGGGGAAUAUUGCGCAAUGGGGGAGACCCUGACGCAGCAACGCCGCGUGGGUGAUGAAGGUCUUCGGAUUGUAAAGCCCUGUUUUCUAGGACGAUAAUGACGGUACUAGAGGAGGAAGCCACGGCUAACUACGUGCCAGCAGCCGCGGUAAUACGUAGGUGGCGAGCGUUGUCCGGAUUUACUGGGCGUAAAGGGUGCGUAGGCGGAUGUUUAAGUGGGAUGUGAAAUCCCCGGGCUUAACCUGGGGGCUGCAUUCCAAACUGGAUAUCUAGAGUGCAGGAGAGGAAAGCGGAAUUCCUAGUGUAGCGGUGAAAUGCGUAGAGAUUAGGAAGAACACCAGUGGCGAAGGCGGCUUUCUGGACUGUAACUGACGCUGAGGCACGAAAGCGUGGGUAGCAAACAGGAUUAGAUACCCUGGUAGUCCACGCCGUAAACGAUGGAUACUAGGUGUAGGGGGUAUCAACUCCCCCUGUGCCGCAGUUAACACAAUAAGUAUCCCGCCUGGGGAGUACGGUCGCAAGAUUAAAACUCAAAGGAAUUGACGGGGGCCCGCACAAGCAGCGGAGCAUGUGGUUUAAUUCGAAGCAACGCGAAGAACCUUACCUGGACUUGACAUCCCUUGCAUAGCCUAGAGAUAGGUGAAGCCCUUCGGGGCAAGGAGACAGGUGGUGCAUGGUUGUCGUCAGCUCGUGUCGUGAGAUGUUAGGUUAAGUCCUGCAACGAGCGCAACCCUUGUUAUUAGUUGCUACCAUUAAGUUGAGCACUCUAAUGAGACUGCCUGGGUAACCAGGAGGAAGGUGGGGAUGACGUCAAAUCAUCAUGCCCCUUAUGUCCAGGGCUACACACGUGCUACAAUGGUAGGUACAAUAAGACGCAAGACCGUGAGGUGGAGCAAAACUUAUAAAACCUAUCUCAGUUCGGAUUGUAGGCUGCAACUCGCCUACAUGAAGCUGGAGUUGCUAGUAAUCGCGAAUCAGAAUGUCGCGGUGAAUACGUUCCCGGGCCUUGUACACACCGCCCGUCACACCAUGAGAGCUGGUAACACCCGAAGUCCGUGAGGUAACCGUAAGGAGCCAGC
This 1426-nucleotide ribosomal RNA is filed under the name Clostridium botulinum. RNAcentral's name for it is "16S ribosomal RNA". It matches the Rfam family "Bacterial small subunit ribosomal RNA". Lineage: Bacteria; Bacillati; Bacillota; Clostridia; Eubacteriales; Clostridiaceae. The record is from RNAcentral.